UUAAUACAUGCAAGUCGAACGAGAAGCCAGAGCUUGCUCUGGUGGAAAGUGGCGAACGGGUGAGUAACACGUGAGAAACCUGCCCCAAAGAUUGGGAUAAAGCCUUGGAAACGAGGUCUAAUACCAAAUACCUUCUUUUAACACAUGUUAAAAGAAGAAAUGCUCCGGCGCUUUGGGAUGGUCUCGCGAUCUAUCAGCUUGUUGGUGAGGUAACGGCUCACCAAGGCAUCGACGGAUAGCUGGUCUGAGAGGAUGUCCAGCCACAUUGGAACUGAGACACGGUCCAAACUCCUACGGGAGGCAGCAGUAGGGGAAUCUUGCACAAUGAGGGAAACCUUGAUGCAGCGACGCCGCGUGCGGGACGAAGGCCCUAGGGUUGUAAACCGCUUUCAGUAGGGACGAAAGUGACGGUACCUACAGAAGAAGCCCCGGCCAACUAUGUG
RNAcentral lists this ribosomal RNA (443 nucleotides) under uncultured bacterium. Its description in RNAcentral is "bacterial SSU rRNA". It matches the Rfam family "Bacterial small subunit ribosomal RNA", at positions 48 to 507 of the family's 1533-position model. The record is from RNAcentral.